UCAGGGUUCCCUCGCUGGUGCUAGGAAGUGCUUCAAGGUAAAGGGGACCCGGGGAGAAGCCCUCAGUGGGUGAUGUUUCAUUCCCAGAUGCAACAAGAACCUCUUACUCUGUGCAAACAACAGAUCAUAAUUAAGGCUCAGAAACAAGCCCUUCAGAACUUCACGACUGAACACUCAUGUGUGUCCCUGCCACUUCUGCCCCCCCUCCCUCACACGCAUGCAUAACAAGCGUAAAUUUUCAACCUACACGAACAAACUUUUUCCUGGUAGAAGUGACUGACUUCUUUCCAACAGUGAAAAUCCACUUCACAGGAGCAGCACCAAGGUCCAAGGCAGGAAGCCUCAUGGCUCACCAGGGGACCAUAGCCAUAAUGCUCCUCUGCAUGGCCUGGGAUUUACAUUGGAAAUGGAAUCGUCUCCUUGAGGGCUUUCACUCCAUGUCAGUUUUGCACAAUCACAGCCCUGGCACAUCAGCACCAGCGGAAUAGGUUGAGCCAACGGAGUUCUGGUCACCCGACUAUUCAAAAGUGCUUGUUCUCU
RNAcentral lists this long non-coding RNA (540 nucleotides) under Marmota monax (woodchuck). The record is from RNAcentral. Lineage: Eukaryota; Metazoa; Chordata; Mammalia; Rodentia; Sciuridae.